RNAcentral lists this ribosomal RNA (369 nucleotides) under uncultured bacterium. RNAcentral's name for it is "bacterial SSU rRNA". It matches the Rfam family "Bacterial small subunit ribosomal RNA", at positions 525 to 896 of the family's 1533-position model. The record is from RNAcentral.
ACGUAGGGUGCAAGCGUUGUCCGGAUUUACUGGGUGUAAAGGGAGCGCAGGCGGGUCGGCAAGUCCUUGGUGAAAUCCUGAGGCUUAACCUCAGGACUGCCAAUGAUACUGCUGAUCUUGAGUACAGAAGAGGAAGAUGGAAUUCCUGGUGUAGCGGUGAAAUGCGUAGAUAUCAGGAAGAACACCGGUGGCGAAGGCGGUCUUCUGGUCUGUAACUGACGCUCAUGCUCGAAAGCGUGGGGAGCAAACAGGAUUAGAUACCCUGGUAGUCCACGCCCUAAACGAUGGAUACUCGAUGUCGGGUCGCAAGGCCCGGUGUCCAAGCUAACGCGUUAAGUAUCCCACCUGGGGAGUACGAUCGCAAGGUUG